UACGGGGGGGGCAAGCGUUGUUCGGAAUUACUGGGCGUAAAGGGCUCGUAGGUGGCCAACUAAGUCAGACGUGAAAUCCCUCAGCUUAACUGGGGAACUGCGUCUGAUACUGGAUGGCUUGAGUUUGGGAGAGGGAUGCGGAAUUCCAGGUGUAGCGGUGAAAUGCGUAGAUAUCUGGAGGAACACCGGUGGCGAAGGCGGCAUCCUGGACCAACACUGACACUGAGGAGCGAAAGCGUGGGUAGCAAACAGG
RNAcentral lists this ribosomal RNA (253 nucleotides) under uncultured bacterium. RNAcentral's name for it is "partial 16S ribosomal RNA". It matches the Rfam family "Bacterial small subunit ribosomal RNA", at positions 524 to 776 of the family's 1533-position model. The record is from RNAcentral.